AACGAACGCUGGCGGCAUGCCUAACACAUGCAAGUCGAACGCGGGGUCUCGGUUCGCUGGGGCCCUGAGUGGCGCACGGGUGAGUAGCGCGUGGGAACCUGCCCUGUUGUGGGGGAUAACCGAGGGAAACUUCGGCUAAUACCGCAUGCGCCCGGGGAAACCCGGGGAAAGAUUGAUUCGCAGCAGGAGGGGCCCGCGUCGGAUUAGCUAGUUGGUGGGGUAACGGCCUACCAAGGCACCGAUCCGUAGCUGGUCUGAGAGGAUGAUCAG
RNAcentral lists this ribosomal RNA (270 nucleotides) under uncultured bacterium. RNAcentral's name for it is "partial 16S ribosomal RNA". It matches the Rfam family "Bacterial small subunit ribosomal RNA", at positions 28 to 307 of the family's 1533-position model. The record is from RNAcentral.